UGAACGCUGGCGGCGUGCCUAAUACAUGCAAGUCGAGCGGCAGCACGGUCUUCGGACUGGUGCGAGCGGCGGACGGCAGAGUAACGCGUAGGAACAUGCCCCAAAGUGAGGAAUAACUGCCCGAAAGGGUGGCUGAUGCCGCAUAUGCUCUUCGGAGUAAAGCUUUAUGCGCUUUGGGAGUGGCCUGCGUCCGAUUAGCUUGUUGGUGAGGUAAUAGCUCACCAAGGCGACGAUCGGUAGCUGGUCUGAGAGGAUGAUCAGCCUGACUGGAACUGAGAACGGUCCAGACUCCUACGGGAGGCAGCGGUAGGGAAUUUUCCACAAUGGGCGAGAGCCUGAUGGAGCAACGCCGCGUGCAGGAUGAAUGCCUUCGGGUUGUAAACUGCUUUUAUGUGCGAAGAAUUUGACUGUAACACAUGAAUAAGGGUCGGCUAACUACGUGCCAGCAGCCGCGGGAAU
RNAcentral lists this ribosomal RNA (459 nucleotides) under uncultured bacterium. RNAcentral describes it as "bacterial SSU rRNA". It matches the Rfam family "Bacterial small subunit ribosomal RNA", at positions 30 to 524 of the family's 1533-position model. The record is from RNAcentral.